UGUGCCAUCCUUUGGGGGAAGAGGGAGAGGUGGGGAGUUUCAUUUUUACAAGGCACCAAUGAAAAGAUAGUUCUGGGCUGAAAAAAAAAUGGGUCAAAGUGCAAGAAUGGUUUAAUCAUGAAACAAAACAAUGUUGCAUAUACACUCUAAAAAAAAAUCCAACAUUUGGAAGGAGAAAGCUUUUUGCCUGCAGAUGUUUGGUGGGAACCAGAGAACUAUAAUUUACAUCCCUGAAAAUAUUAUUUUGCAGGAGGAGGAAGAAAAGCAGUCUGAUGGUUGGAACAAAAGAAAGGCAGAAUCCAUUUGGGAAGUGCUCAGAUACUAUAUUGAGAGUGUCAAUUAAGAAGAUAAAAUGUAUUAGAAGGAUUAUUCUGUAUCUGCAGAAUUUCUUACAGUCAAGAUAGGGAAUGCUACAAAUACUGAAAGAAACUGGAAAGAAGGAUUAUGACCAACCCCCUCUUAGCUCCUGCUUGGACCACCGGCCUCUGCCCUCAUCUUUAUCUGCUGCAGCCUGAUGGUACCACAACUCGCUGGAUAGAUAACACAUCUCUGCAACUGAGACAGACAGGGGAGCAGGUUUCAGAAGCUAUUUACCCUUCAAAACUUCUCAUUAGAGAUUAUAGUGAUUUCUUCUCUUUGGGGACAUUAUGUGAAAUCACCCACACAACAGUAAUCCUACAAAAACAAGGUAUAUGAAAAAACAGAGAGAAAAUGUAAUUUAAACAAAAUUAUUGGUUUUCUUAACAUAUCUAGAUGUAUACUUCUCAUAAGUUAAACUAGAUAAGGCAUUCUCGUCUUAAUGAUAUAAAGAGAAAAAAGAUGGGGUAUAUAUCCCACAUGACAAAGGAGUUAAUGGCCUAAGAGACCAAUUAUGCUACCUGACUACACCUGAAGGGACAGCCAGGCUUAUGGCAAGAUGAAGUCCAGGUUAGGAGGGGCUGCAUGGUAAUUAUAAAAGCAGGAAGUUUAGAACAGAAGGGAGCUGUAGGGAAAGGAAAGAGCCCUGCAGUCACUCUCUAGAAUUGAAGGUGGUGGAGUAAAGCCCCAGAGGAAAGGAAUAUGGACCAAUGUAGAACCCUGACAGAAAGGUGUGAGGACCAUGGAUCCUGCAGUUGGGGCUGAAGAUCUUUUGUGAGGACAUUUGGAUUAUUUGUUGGACUUUGUUACCUGGGAAUGGGUGGACUAAGGGUAUGCUUACACUGCAAUUAGAUACACACGGCUGGCCCAUACCAGCUGACUCAGGUUCGUGGGCUUCAGGCUAAGGGGCUGUUUAAUUGUGGGUGUACGAGCCCAGGCUCUACCACUCUGUGAAGUGGGAGGUCCCAGAGCUCAGGCUGCAGCCUGAACCUGAAUGUUUACUCCACAAUUAAACAGCCCCUCAAUGUCUAAUUGCAGGGUAGACAUGCCCUAAAUGGUGAUCUGGUGGGAGGGCUCUCUUCCAGCCCAGGAAGAGACACCUCCACAGUGGCAAAGUUACUGUUGGUAGAGGGUCCUAGACAGGAGAGAACCUGCCGUGCCACUCCCAGCUAAGAGGGGGUGUGCUAGCGGUCAAUGUACUCUUUCACAUGUCUAAAGCAAGUUCCUGUUCUGAGAUUCUCUUGUCAGAAUCCGCUCCUGUUGCUGUGUUGUGAGUCAGUGUCUCCUUCACUCAACCAGCCCAUCAAGCCCCACCCCUCCCACCUUCUUAAUCAAG
Long non-coding RNA from Trachemys scripta elegans, 1693 nucleotides. RefSeq lists it as uncharacterized. The record is from RefSeq and is a predicted model, not a curated record. NCBI's taxonomy places the organism in Eukaryota, Metazoa, Chordata, Testudines, Emydidae. The transcript is spliced from 3 exons.